GGACUACCGGGGUAUCUAAUCCCGUUGGCUCCCCUGGCUUUCGCACCUCAGCGUCAGUCGCCUCCCAGAACCCUGCCUGCGCCUGUGGUGUUCCUCCGGAUCUCUACGCAUUUCACCACUCCACCCGGAAUUCCAGGUUCCUCUGAGGCUCUCAAGCCACGCCGUCUUCCCGGCACUCCUCACGUGAAGCGUGAGGCUGGCACCGGAAACGCGCGCAGCCGCCUGCGUGCCCUUUACGCCCAGUAACUCCGGACAACGCUUGCCCCCUACGUCUUACCGCGGCUGCUGGCAC
RNAcentral lists this ribosomal RNA (292 nucleotides) under uncultured bacterium. RNAcentral describes it as "partial 16S ribosomal RNA". The record is from RNAcentral.